This 497-nucleotide ribosomal RNA is filed under the name uncultured bacterium. Its description in RNAcentral is "partial 16S ribosomal RNA". It matches the Rfam family "Bacterial small subunit ribosomal RNA", at positions 28 to 507 of the family's 1533-position model. The record is from RNAcentral.
GACGAACGCUGGCGGCGUGCCUAAUACAUGCAAGUUGAGCGAUGAAGAUUGGUGCUUGCACCAAUUUGAAGAGCAGCGAACGGGUGAGUAACGCGUGGGGAAUCUGCCUUUGAGCGGGGGACAACAUUUGGAAACGAAUGCUAAUACCGCAUAACAACUUUAAACAUAAGUUUUAAGUUUGAAAGAUGCAAUUGCAUCACUCAAAGAUGAUCCCGCGUUGUAUUAGCUAGUUGGUGAGGUAAAGGCUCACCAAGGCGAUGAUACAUAGCCGACCUGAGAGGGGGGUCGGCCACAUUGGGACUGAGACACGGCCCAAACUCCUACGGGAGGCAGCCGUAGGGGAUCUUCGGCAAUGGACGAAAGUCUGACCGGGCAACGCCGCGGGGGUGGAGAAGGUUUUCGGAUCGUAAAACUCUGUUGGUAGAGAAGAACGUUGGUGAGAGUGGAAAGCUCAUAAAGUGACGGUAACUACCCAGAAAGGGACGGCUAACUACGUG